Molecule: transfer RNA, 69 nt
Filed under: Chrysotus gramineus
Lineage: Eukaryota; Metazoa; Arthropoda; Insecta; Diptera; Dolichopodidae
Description: tRNA-Ser
Source: RNAcentral
AGCUAAUGAGCUUGAAUAUAAGCAUAUGUUUUGAAAACAUAAGAUAGAAAAUUAAUUUUCUAUUGGCUU